This 2332-nucleotide long non-coding RNA is filed under the name Sorghum bicolor (sorghum). RNAcentral's name for it is "long non-coding RNA (SBIC_LNC000701)". Lineage: Eukaryota; Viridiplantae; Streptophyta; Magnoliopsida; Poales; Poaceae. The record is from RNAcentral.
CAGGUACAAGCUUGGAGUAGACACCGACAGGCCGGGUUUCCUCUAAUCAACACCUCCACUCUAUCUCUCUCAAUCUAGUAGAAACUAGAAGAUCUAUUUCUACUUUAUAUUGGUUGCUAAGCCUAAAAAUAAAUAUUAAUUAGAGAAGAGGUUUUCCUUCGAGGGCACCCCUCAAUCUCUAUGAUAAUUUCUUGUUCUCUCUAGGGGCCAGGGGGUCUCCUUAUAUAGUCCUCCUCCUCUAUGCGUUUUUGGGUCGGUAGGUGAGGUGGUACUAUGUUUUCCUUGAUCCAAUAGGUCGGUGUAACAUCCCGUGCGAAGAGAGUCUUGAACUGGAUCCAACAGGGGGCGGGCGCCUAGGUCACCAGGGCGGGCGCCCUAGGCCUGGCUCCUUUCGGCCUCCGUCUUCUUCUCGUGGCUUCUGGAGUCUUCUAGAUGGUAGAAAAUCGCGCGGUGCGUUGAUAUCUCUAUGUAAUCCCGACAUGUGGGCCUUUCAUCCUUAUUUCCUGAUAACCCCCUGCAGAAACAGAUAAACAACAAAACUCAUGGAAUUCUGUCAGAUCAAACCCUAAUUCUAGGUGUUGGUUGCAUAUUGGUCCUUUCCCUUGUUUAUUUGAUAAUUAAAAUUGAUACUUAAGAACCGUCAACAAAUACCCCCAUACUUAGGCUUUUACUCGUCCUCGAGAAAAGGAUGGUUAAGAACAAUAUCUGGGUUUAAAAGCAUUCUCCUUAUAAUUGCAGGGUGUUAAAAAUCCACUGUGUACUAUAGUCAGGAAGUAUAUGGUUAAGAGUAAAGAUCCUUUCUUCUCAAUCUUGUUACUUGGAGUUUUUGUAUAUUUUUGAAAGAAAGUUAGCAUACCUUUUUAUCCUCAUAGGUUCUCUCAGAUCACUCAUUAUCUUUUAUAUAUAUAUCUCACUGAGGUUGUUUUAAUUUCCAAAAAUUCUCAAGCAUACUUACUUUGCAUUUAUUGCCUGAUCAAAACAGGAUCCGAGGAGGGGAAUGUCAUACUCUUAGAUCAAAGACUUUGGAAAUUAAAAUCUUUGUCAACUCUUGCUGGCAUAUUGCUUAUUAGAGGGACCAUGGGCUAUCAUUUUUUUUCUCUUUUUUCUUUUUUUUUAAGUGGAUACCGAGGUACCCCUAAUUCUACUGCCGGACACUCGUCCAUUUUUUCUGCGAGGUUGUCGAGCACUUGCUCCUUUUUAUUUCCUCGAAAUAUCUCUAUUUUUGCAUAGCCCAUGCCUCUAAUCCAAUAAUACUUCGGAAGAGUGAAUCUUUCUGAAUAAAUGUCUUGAUCUUAGGAGCAUGAUAAAUCUCUCAACAAGGGUCUAACUCAUUUUGAACAAACUCAAUACAGAGUAGAUAGCUUUAUAAUCAUAAUUAAUAUUUUCAGUUUUAUCAGGCAUAUAAAACAUUGAGGAUGGUAGCUAGAAUUUUGAAUAUUUUGAAAUAAAUUCUCCAAGCAACAAUGAUAUCAAGAAUAAGAAACUCAUACUCUACCAUCUCACAUUCCAUACUGACUUAAGUAACACAUGGUUUUAAAAUGAUUUUAUAAUAAUUACAAGUUUUCAGGAAAUAUCACAGAUUGAGAUUAAUCAUGAUUAGAAAUAUUUUAAUAUUUUUAAUUUAUCAUGUCAGAAAUAGUAAUCUGCAUAAUCCAAAUAUAUGUAUGUGUAAAGUAAAAUGUGCAGAGUGUGUACCUGAAUCGUAGAGUGGUGUGGUCAGAGUGUGUUUGGCAUGUUGAGGGAUCUCCCCCGUACUUGUUUUCUGCUUUCUUGCACAAAAAUAAAGUAGAGACACACAAGACAUAAUAAUAAUAAUAAUAAUAAUAAUAAUAAUAAUAAUAAUACUCUUUAUUAAUCUUGAGGCAUUUAUUACAAAAGACUUGUCGGUGUUUUCCCCCGAGGGGUCACACCAACGAGUAAAUUUGUAUGCGUGCUCCCUUUCCCGGAUGGUGAUGCAAGAAGACACAGAGAUUUAUCCUGGUUCGGGCAAGAGAAGGCCCUACGUCCAGCGGGGAGAGAGAGUUUGUAUUAUCUUGCACCUAAGUGCUUGUACAGGGGCGAAUACAAGCGUGGUAUGAAGUGUGGAGCUCUACUACGUAUGAGCGUGGUCUUGUGUCGUGAUCCCCCUGUUCUAUUCCUGAGUCCCUCCUUUUAUAGUUCCAAGGAAGGACCUAGGGUACAUGUAUAGGUGUAGGAAUUGGAGUCGAUAGCAGCAUGGAGCGCUGACCUACUCGAGGUUUCCGUACCGGCAUGACCUCGAGCCGUCCCGUCUUAAUAGCCUGGUGAUGAUCACGCGUGCCCCUGCAUUCUGCUCUGCGCGCCGUCUUGGAUU